GGGGAAUAUUGGACAAUGGGGGGAACCCUGAUCCAGCGAUGCCGCGUGUGUGAAGAAGGCCUGCGGGUUGUAAAGCACUUUAGUUGGGGAGGAAGGUUAGAUGGUUAAGAGCUGUUUAAUUUGACGUUACCCAAAGAAUAAGCACCGGCUAACUCUGUGCCAGCAGCCGCGGUAAUACAGAGGGUGCAAGCGUUAAUCGGAAUUACUGGGCGUAAAGGGCGCGUAGGCGGAUAAUCAAGCUGGAUGUGAAAGACCCGGGCUUAACCUGGGGGUGUCAUUCAUAACUGGUUAUCUAGAGUAUGGGAGAGGAGAGUGGAAUUCACAGUGUAGCGGUGAAAUGCGUAGAUACUGUGAGGAACAUCGAUGGCGAAGGCAGCUCUCUGGCCUGAUACUGACGCUGAGGCGCGAAAGCAUGGGUAGCGAACAG
This 427-nucleotide ribosomal RNA is filed under the name uncultured bacterium. RNAcentral's name for it is "bacterial SSU rRNA". It matches the Rfam family "Bacterial small subunit ribosomal RNA", at positions 356 to 775 of the family's 1533-position model. The record is from RNAcentral.